This 253-nucleotide ribosomal RNA is filed under the name uncultured bacterium. RNAcentral's name for it is "partial 16S ribosomal RNA". It matches the Rfam family "Bacterial small subunit ribosomal RNA", at positions 524 to 776 of the family's 1533-position model. The record is from RNAcentral.
UACGGAGGGGGCUAGCGUUGUUCGGAAUUACUGGGCGUAAAGCGCACGUAGGCGGCUUUGUAAGUUAGAGGUGAAAGCCCAGGGCUCAACCCUGGAAUUGCCUUUAAGACUGCAUCGCUUGAACAUCGGAGAGGUAAGUGGAAUUCCGAGUGUAGAGGUGAAAUUCGUAGAUAUUCGGAAGAACACCAGUGGCGAAGGCGGCUUACUGGACGAUUGUUGACGCUGAGGUGCGAAAGCGUGGGGAGCAAACAGG